CACAGGCAGGGAUUGGGGGCUGAGUCUGAGUAAAGUUAUCCAUGGGGCCAUGAAGAAGGAAGGGAAGCGGAGACUCUGGGAGGCUGACAUCAUCCCUUCCCCGUCAUUUGCAUGAGGCUGCUACUUCCUGCCACUUUCUGUGCCUGGUGAAUGAAGAGAUCAGGAAUUCAAUAGACUGCAAAGAACGGCCUGCAGCAAGGGCCAAGGGCACUUGCUAUUGACUCUGUGAACACAACCUUCCCCAUGAAGACCCACCUUCACAAAGCAAGAAAGAAAGGAAAUUCACACAGUGCAGAAAGCCCUUCCCUCAGGAUCUGCAUGACCCUGGUGGACAAGCGACACACCCAGCUCAGGAAAAGAGCGGCUCUGCAGCCAUCUAUACCCAGACAACAAAACCCACACAGCUCUUGCCAGAGGGGCCAUGUGACUGUGGCCCUUGGACACGGAGACAAUACCGGGACAGAGAGAAGACAAAGGGCCAGCGGAGGCUUGCCUGAGGACCGGCUGCUAUUGCCAUAGGGCUGUGGCCACUGGAUCCCAAAGAGAAAUGGGCCAAAGGCAACUGGAUUGGUGAAAACACCGUCUUUAUCAUUGUUUCAAUGCUCUGAAAAGUCAUCCCAUCACGACAGAGAUUUCUCAGUGCGGAGGAAAAUUUCCAUUUGAAAUCCUUUUUUUCUGCUUACCAGACAUUUGAUUUCCUGAGCCCUCCCAGCCAAACAAAUGAGAACUGCGCACAGUGGGUUGGAGGACGGUGGCCAUGAUCUCACCCAAGUCUCUGAAGCUUUCACUCCACUGUGCCUGAGGCCUAAGGAGAAGGCCUGGGCUGUAGCAUCGUUAGUGAUUUGGGUCCUGUUGCCUGCUGCUCACUGGUAGUGAGACCUGGGGCCAGUUUUGCAGGCUCCUCUUUGAGCCUCAGAUUUUCACACGUUAACAUGGAGCACGCUAGUUAGCUGAAAAGCUACUGUAAGACACAGAAAUGAGGGCUGGCUAGUGGCUCAGUGGGUAAAGGCACUUGCUGCUCAACCUGAGGACCUGAGUUCCAUUCCUGAGCCCCACACAGUGGAAGAGAACCCUCUCUUGCAAUUUGUCUUCUGACUCCCACAUGCAACAUAUAUAAAAGAAAUCAAUGUUGAAAAAGAAAAGAGGAGUUGGCAGCAAAGCCCGACUGGGCACACUGUAAGUUCCCAUGGACAGGCAGCUAACAUGGCUCCCUGUGCCAGGGAGGCUGUGGUCGGUAAGCGGACUUGGUCUAGAUGGAAACAGCUCAGUCUGGGUUGGGAGGCCACAGCUUACAGGGAGCUCUGUGAGCUUGGGCAGUUCACUCUCCUCGAGUCUCAGGCUGCCCAUCAGGAUUAAGGUUUUCUGUGCCCACCAAUGCUGAUGGCUAUCAGAGCUGGAUAUGACAGGGACGGAGAGGGCACUGCUCCCUGGUGAAGGUUCUGGUCCAUCACCACACUCCAUCCCCUGAAAUGCAUAUGGCAGAACGGGCCACUGUGUAAGGUGGUGUGGGGUGCGGGCUACAGAACAGAAAGCCUCAGCUUCGCGCUUUCAGUUCACCAAUUCUAUAGGUUAGAUUCCCUAAUCUGUCACAAGGGUAGCAAUGUCUUCCUCACAGGAAGCUAAGAGGGGAACACAGAAAUGUGCACUGUCCAGUCUGUUUCAUGCCCAUCGUGGGAUGAAAUGUGUUUUCUCUGUAUUCCACGAGGGACCUCAAAUGGACGAUCCUUGCGAUUUCCCUAUGUUUGUUUAAGGUGGGAUGAAGGGACUUCAGAUCCAUUCUGACUCAUGAUGGCAUUGCCCGCAAGCACAAUUUUGCGAUCUGCUUUUAGCCAAUUCUUAGUGCCAUCUGCUUGUCACUUUCCCUUCUAAAAAGAUCCCGCCCUAAAACCACAAGCCAUAUGACCAGGAGAGUGCCACCGUUAUCUCGGGCAUCUCGGGUUCCAAAGAUUUUCUAUUAGCACAGCCCCAACUGGGACACUAGUAACAUCUUUAUAACACGUUUCUUUAUCUUGGUAAGGGUCUGAUGGGGGAGCACACGUGGCCUGGCACAUAUGUGUAGAUCAGAACACAAUUUGCAGAGUGGGUUGUCUCCUUCCUCCACGUGAGUCCCAGGGACAGAAUCCAUGUGGUUCAGCAGGCCCGGCAACAAGCGCUUUGACCCUCUUGAGCCAUCUCACUGGCUCUUAGCAAGCCGUUUGUUUGUUUUUUAGACAGAAUCUCACUACGUAGCCCAGAUUAGCGCAGAACUCACGAUGCACGUGAGAUCCUAUCUUAAAAAACAAACAAAACAAAAAACACUACCAGACUGCAUUCCCUCCGUCCUAUUAAACCUCUAAACUAAAUAUAAGAUGCUAAUUAUAGUUAACUAAUUAAUCAUAACUUAGUUUUUAAAACAAUUUUUAAAUCUUAGUUUUCCUGCUUUAUAAGAGAAACUGUUUGCCCCAGCUCUGUGACCUUGGCACAUUUGAUGAGCAGGUCUGACAAGAGUAAGCAUGCUUCCUCAGCGACAGAUCUGCCUGCCUGCUGACGCCCAGUGGCGCUGCACCACACAUCUCAUGCAGAGAUCUACAGAAUUCACCCCCACAUUGUUUUUCCACUGACGGCUGCCCACCACCCGCCCUCUUCAGAAAGGCCUGCUUUGUUGUCCUUACAUUUACUUGCCAUUUAAUUUGGGCACGGGGUAUGUAUGCCACGGUACACGUGUGGCAGUCUGAGGACAACUUGUGGGAGCCAGUUCUCUCCUUCCACUAUGUGGGUUCCAGGGAUCAAAGUCGGGUCAUCACCAGACUUGGCAGCAAGCCUGCGACAUUUCACCAGCCCCAACUGCUGUCUCUUUAAACCCCAUGAGUUCAACAAGACUUUUGUUUUUUUCUUAAUUCACCUUGACUAAGAAAUUACUAUCAUCUACCUAAACAAUACAAAUAUAACUUUUGACAUUAUUCAAGUUUUAUUUAAAAGAGUCUCUUCAAUGGUUGAAGAAACACUUGAUACAUCUUUAUACUGACAUUAUUUAUUGCUGAAGGUAGGGUUAUCGCCAUUUCUAUUUGGUCCAUAGAAACUUAAGUGCCCUAUUUGCAUGAACAGGAAGAUGGAGUGGGCAUUAGUCUGUUCUUUAUUGCCCCCUGAGUUAACUGUCAUAAAUAAUCAUUUGUAACGAUGCUCCUGACAAGUUGACCUUUUCAAGUUGGUAAAAGUGAAAUGUAUUUGGAAAAUCUGUCUGGGAGAAGGAUUUGCUUCCUUAUUAUUAGUCUCACCUUCCAGACUAUAUUUUGAACUGCCUCCUUUGGUGGUCAGACACCACUGUAGUAGGGUUGGGAAAAGGUGGGACAUUUCCCUGUGUGGUCCUAAGUGGGUGAAGGGCCACCACCGUGGAAAAUAGGGAGGAAGAGAGAAGUGUUGCAGAAUAUAUGUUUAAACUAA
Molecule: long non-coding RNA, 3420 nt
Organism: Myodes glareolus (Bank vole)
Lineage: Eukaryota; Metazoa; Chordata; Mammalia; Rodentia; Cricetidae
Source: RefSeq, a predicted model, not a curated record